AACGUAGGAGGCAAGCGUUAUCCGGAAUUACUGGGCGUAAAGAGCUCGUAGGUGGUUUGUCGCGUUGUUCGUGAAAACCGGGGGCUUAACCCUCGGCGUGCGGGCGAUACGGGCAGACUUGAGUACUGCAGGGGAGACUGGAAUUCCUGGUGUAGCGGUGGAAUGCGCAGAUAUCAGGAGGAACACCGGUGGCGAAGGCGGGUCUCUGGGCAGUAACUGACGCUGAGGAGCGAAAGCGUGGGGAGCGAACAGG
Molecule: ribosomal RNA, 253 nt
Filed under: uncultured bacterium
Lineage: Bacteria
Description: partial 16S ribosomal RNA
Rfam family: Bacterial small subunit ribosomal RNA
Source: RNAcentral